AAAAGCUGUCAGGUAUGUCUACAAAGGGAAGACACUUUUUACAAGUGCAUGUAGUGACAGGACAAGGUGGAAGGGCUUUAAGCUGAAAGAGGGUAGAUUU
Molecule: long non-coding RNA, 100 nt
Organism: Strigops habroptila (Kakapo)
Lineage: Eukaryota; Metazoa; Chordata; Aves; Psittaciformes; Psittacidae
Exons: 4
Source: RefSeq, a predicted model, not a curated record